RNAcentral lists this long non-coding RNA (261 nucleotides) under Brassica napus (rape). RNAcentral describes it as "long non-coding RNA (BNAP_LNC006701)". Lineage: Eukaryota; Viridiplantae; Streptophyta; Magnoliopsida; Brassicales; Brassicaceae. The record is from RNAcentral.
GUAAGGAGAUACGCUUGUGGUGUUGAAUAGGAUUGGCAUUUUACGAAGACAGAUUCUUUUGAUCUUCUUUUAGUCAACAUGCAACUUGGAGUAGUCCAAAGUUCUCGUUUCUUUGUUGAUUCUUCUUCACAUCAUGUGAAUCAAGUUGGUUGUUCCAUGAUCUUCUUUUAGUCAACAUGCAACUUGGAGUAGUCCAAAGUUCUCGUUUCUUUGUUGAUUCUUCUUCACAUCAUGUGAAUCAAGUUGGUUGUUCCAUGAUCU